AUGAAUCUUCUGAGUUGGAACUGCCGAGGAGGGGGGAAUACCUAGACGGUUCGAGAAAUAACGACCAUCUCGCAGUCGCAUUCCCCCACGUUUGUAUUUUUGUGCGAGACGAGGCAAACAACGAAUAAGAUGAAGAGACUCAGGAGCAGACUUGGCUUGAAGGGUUUUGAAGGAGUAGAUAGCAUUGGGAUGAGUGGUGGACUAGCUCUGUUUUGGCACGAAUCUUGCAAUAUUAGCAUACUGGACAAGGACGACCGGUACAUUGAUGCUAUAGUGUGUGUUAAUCCGGACUCUGGGCAAUGGAGGCUUACUUGUGUUUAUGGAGAACCGCGGGUUGAAAAUAGACACAUGAUGUGGACAAAACUAAAGAACCUUAAGAGUGUCAGUAAUCAUCCAUGGUUAGUGGUCGGAGACUUCAAUGAAGCUCUCUGGGAUUUUGAGCACUUAUCAGCGACACUGAGACCUGAGGCUCAAAUGGUGGCAUUCAUAGAUACAUUGGAAGUGUGCGAGUUGGUGGACUUGGGGUUAUCGGGGAUCCCCUUCACAUAUGAUAAUAAACUAAGCGGCAAUAAUAAUGUUCAAGUUUGUUUGGAUAGGGCAACAGCGACAAAUGCAUGGAGAAAUCUUUUUCCUUUAUGCUCUGUUGUGCACGUGGUCUCCCCAUGUUCUGAUCAUAUAGCCCUAGUGCUAAAGGUGAACCGGAAACGGAUCAUUCAGGACCAAAAACUAGGAGGUAUGAACUCUUUUGGGAGCGAGAUGUGA
This 762-nucleotide ribosomal RNA is filed under the name Triticum aestivum (bread wheat). RNAcentral describes it as "partial small subunit ribosomal RNA". The record is from RNAcentral. Lineage: Eukaryota; Viridiplantae; Streptophyta; Magnoliopsida; Poales; Poaceae.